Molecule: ribosomal RNA, 489 nt
Filed under: uncultured bacterium
Lineage: Bacteria
Description: partial 16S ribosomal RNA
Rfam family: Bacterial small subunit ribosomal RNA
Source: RNAcentral
GACGAACGCUGGCGGCGUGCUUAACACAUGCAAGUCGAACGGUGAAGGGAUCAGCUUGCUGGUUCUGGAUGAGUGGCGAACGGGUGAGUAACACGUGAGUAACCUGCCCCCUUCUUCUGGGUAACCGCAUGAAAGUGUGGCUAAUACGGGAUAUUCUGCGCUUGCGGCGAGGGGGGUGGGGGUAAGAUCUUGUUGCGGUGGGGGGUGGGCUCGCGGCCUCUCCGCGUGUUGGGGGGGUGAUGGCCUACCAAGGCGGUGACGGGUGGCCGGGGUGAGGGGGGGGCCGGCCACACUGGGGCUGCGGUCCGGCCCCGUAUCGUACGGAGGGGAGCAGUGUGGAGGAUUGCACGCGGGGGGCUAGCCUGAUGCAGCGACGCCGCGUGAGGGAUGCUGGCCUUCGGGUUGUGAACCUGUUGCGAAAGUGAAGCAGGCCUGUCCCAUGUGGGUGGGUUGACGGUAGCUGGAGAAGAAGCGCCGGCUAACUACGUG